This 253-nucleotide ribosomal RNA is filed under the name uncultured bacterium. RNAcentral describes it as "partial 16S ribosomal RNA". It matches the Rfam family "Bacterial small subunit ribosomal RNA", at positions 524 to 776 of the family's 1533-position model. The record is from RNAcentral.
UACGUAGGGUGCAAGCGUUGUCCGGAAUUAUUGGGCGUAAAGAGCUCGUAGGCGGUUUGUUGCGUCGGCUGUGAAAUCCCGAGGCUCAACCUCGGGUCUGCAGUCGAUACGAGCAAACUAGAGUGUUGCAGGGGAGACUGGAAUUCCUGGUGUAGCGGUGAAAUGCGUAGAUAUCGGGAGGAACACCAGUGGCGAAGGCGACUACCUGGCCUGUUCUUGACGCUGAGGCGCGAAAGCUAGGGGAGCAAACGGG